UACGUAGGGUGCGAGCGUUAAUCGGAAUUACUGGGCGUAAAGCGUGCGCAGGCGGUAAUGCAAGACAGAUGUGAAAUCCCCGGGCUUAACCUGGGAACUGCAUUUGUGACUGCAUUGCUGGAGUGCGGCAGAGGGGGAUGGAAUUCCGCGUGUAGCAGUGAAAUGCGUAGAGAUCGGGAAGAACAUCAGUGGCGAAGGCGGCCUGCUGGGCUGUUGCUGACGCUGAGGCGCGACAGCGCGGGGAGCAAACAGG
This 253-nucleotide ribosomal RNA is filed under the name uncultured bacterium. RNAcentral describes it as "partial 16S ribosomal RNA". It matches the Rfam family "Bacterial small subunit ribosomal RNA", at positions 524 to 776 of the family's 1533-position model. The record is from RNAcentral.